This 30-nucleotide non-coding RNA is filed under the name Rattus norvegicus (Norway rat). Lineage: Eukaryota; Metazoa; Chordata; Mammalia; Rodentia; Muridae. The record is from RNAcentral.
UAACUCAAGAAAAGCUCACUAGUUUCUUUU